Molecule: ribosomal RNA, 427 nt
Filed under: uncultured bacterium
Lineage: Bacteria
Description: partial 16S ribosomal RNA
Rfam family: Bacterial small subunit ribosomal RNA
Source: RNAcentral
UGGGGAAUAUUGCACAAUGGGCGCAAGCCUGAUGCAGCCAUGCCGCGUGUAUGAAGAAGGCCUUCGGGUUGUAAAGUACUUUCAGCGGGGAUGAAGGGAGUAAAGUUAAUACCUUUGCUCAUUGACGUUACCCGCAGAAGAAGCACCGGCUAACUCCGUGCCAGCAGCCGCGGUAAUACGGAGGGUGCAAGCGUUAAUCGGAAUUACUGGGCGUAAAGCGCACGCAGGCGGGUUGUUAAGUCAGAUGUGAAAUCCCCGGGCUCAACCUGGGAACUGCAUCUGAUACUGGCAAGCUUGAGUCUCGUAGAGGGGGGUAGAAUUCCAGGUGUAGCGGUGAAAUGCGUAGAGAUCUGGAGGAAUACCGGUGGCGAAGGCGGCCCCCUGGACGAAGACUGACGCUCAGGUGCGAAAGCGUGGGGAGCAAACA